GUAUGUGCAUGUGUCUCUGUGUAUAUAUGUAAAUGUACAUGUAUGUGGGUGUGUGUAUCUGUUAUGUGUAUAUGUACAUGUGUGUGUAUGUGUGUGUGUGUUUGAAAAUGCUACCACUGUUGAUUCAACUUAGAACUCCUGCCCCCCCCCACUCCCCCCCACUGUCUUCUCGGAUUCGGUGGAGGCGCUGCCUGGCGCCUCCCCGGGACUCGCUGAGACAGCUGCUCCCCAGUGGCCUCACCAGCCUCGCCACCCGGCUCGGUGGGAAUGCGACGUCCACACUGGGUUGCACUGUGUCCCCCGGCAAGGUGAGAUCUGCUACCUCGCUCUCAGAGCCCAGAACAGCGCUCAGCGAUGACGCAGGCCCAAGGCUCCCGAGGUGGAGUCCACGAUGGUGGCCGGCACGUGGUGACCCUGGGCCCACAGGGACCUGGGGAAUGACUCACGCUGCUCCCACACAGGUGAGUGUAGAAGCCAGGCAUGGGCCCUGGUCUUCCAUAAUGUUUUAUGUUUUCAUUCCAGAUUUUUCAGCAAGUCGAGAGGCACAGCUGUUUGUGUCAGUAGAUGCGAUGUGGUGAUGUUCAGAGUAUUUGAGGAAGUGGAAAUGGAAACCUAAGGUUUGCAAUGAGUGUUUGAAAAGCCAGAGGGUUAAGCCAACACAAGCAGUGCCGGCAUCCCAUUUGAGUGCCGGUUCAAGUCCUGGCUGCUCCGCUUCUGAUCCAACUCCCUGCUAACGCACCUGGGAAAGCAAAGGAAAAUGGCCCAGAUCCCACCUACAUGGGAGAAGAAUGGAGUUCCAGGCUCCUGGCUUUGGCCUGGCCCAGUCCCAGCCAUUUGCAGCCAACUGGGGAGUGAUCCAGCAGAUGGAAGAUCUCUCUGUGUGUCUCUCCUUCUCUCUCUGUCACUCUGCCUUUCAAUUAAAUAAAUCUUUAAAAAGAGAGAGGGAGAGAGAGAAA
RNAcentral lists this long non-coding RNA (956 nucleotides) under Oryctolagus cuniculus (rabbit). RNAcentral's name for it is "lncRNA (ENSOCUG00000038449.1)". Lineage: Eukaryota; Metazoa; Chordata; Mammalia; Lagomorpha; Leporidae. The record is from RNAcentral.